Molecule: ribosomal RNA, 239 nt
Filed under: Vibrio cholerae
Lineage: Bacteria; Pseudomonadati; Pseudomonadota; Gammaproteobacteria; Vibrionales; Vibrionaceae
Description: partial 23S ribosomal RNA
Rfam family: Bacterial large subunit ribosomal RNA
Source: RNAcentral
GGUUAAUAUUCCCGUACUUCUGACUAUUGCGAUGGGGGGACGGAGAAGGCUAGGUGGGCCAGGCGACGGUUGUCCUGGUUCAAGUGCGUAGGUUUGAGAGUUAGGUAAAUCCGGCUCUCUUUAAGGCUGAGACACGACGUCGAGCUACUACGGUAGUGAAGUCAUUGAUGCCAUGCUUCCAGGAAAAGCCUCUAAGCUUCAGAUAGUCAGGAAUCGUACCCCAAACCGACACAGGUGGU